This 253-nucleotide ribosomal RNA is filed under the name uncultured bacterium. RNAcentral describes it as "partial 16S ribosomal RNA". It matches the Rfam family "Bacterial small subunit ribosomal RNA", at positions 524 to 776 of the family's 1533-position model. The record is from RNAcentral.
UACGUAGGGGGCUAGCGUUGUCCGGAAUCAUUGGGCGUAAAGCGCGUGUAGGCGGUCCGGUAAGUCCGCUGUGAAAGUCGAGGGCUCAACCCUCGAAUGCCGGUGGAUACUGUCGGGCUUGAGUACGGGAGAGGCGAGUGGAAUUCCUGGUGUAGCGGUGAAAUGCGCAGAUAUCAGGAGGAACACCGGUGGUGUAGACGGCUUUCUGGACCGUAACUGACGCUGAGACACGAAAGCGUGGGUAGCAAACAGG